This 1474-nucleotide ribosomal RNA is filed under the name metagenome. Its description in RNAcentral is "bacterial SSU rRNA". It matches the Rfam family "Bacterial small subunit ribosomal RNA". The record is from RNAcentral.
AGAGUUUGAUCCUGGCUCAGGACGAACGCUGGCGGCGUGCCUAACACAUGCAAGUCGAACGGGGUGAGGCCCUUCGGGACCUUUACCUAGUGGCGAACGGGUGAGUAACGCGUGAGGAACCUGCCUUUCAGUGGGGGACAACAGUUGGAAACGACUGCUAAUACCGCAUGAAGCUUUUGGGAGACAUCUCCUGGAAGCCAAAGCUUAAUGUGCUGAAAGAUGGCCUCGCGUCUGAUUAGCUAGUUGGUGGGGUAACGGCCCACCAAGGCGACGAUCAGUAGCCGGUCUGAGAGGAUGAACGGCCACAUUGGGACUGAGAUACGGCCCAGACUCCUACGGGAGGCAGCAGUGGGGAAUAUUGGGCAAUGGGCGAAAGCCUGACCCAGCAACGCCGCGUGAAGGAAGAAGGCCUUCGGGUUGUAAACUUCUUUUACCAGGGACGAAGGACGUGACGGUACCUGGAGAAAAAGCAACGGCUAACUACGUGCCAGCAGCCGCGGUAAUACGUAGGUUGCAAGCGUUGUCCGGAUUUACUGGGUGUAAAGGGCGUGUAGGCGGAGAUGCAAGUUAGGAGUGAAAUCUAUGGGCUCAACCCAUAAACUGCUUCUAAAACUGUAUCCCUUGAGUAUCGGAGAGGCAAGCGGAAUUCCUAGUGUAGCGGUGAAAUGCGUAGAUAUUAGGAGGAACACCAGUGGCGAAGGCGGCUUGCUGGACGACAACUGACGCUGAGGCGCGAAAGCGUGGGGAGCAACCAGGAUUAGAUACCCUGGUAGUCCACGCUGUAAACGAUGAAUACUAGGUGUGGGGGGACUGACCCCCUCCGUGCCGCAGUUAACACAAUAAGUAUUCCACCUGGGGAGUACGACCGCAAGGUUGAAACUCAAAGGAAUUGACGGGGGCCCGCACAAGCAGUGGAUUAUGUGGUUUAAUUUGACGCAACGCGAAGAACCUUACCAGGACUUGACAUCCAACUAACGAAGUAGAGAUACAUCAGGUGCCCUUCGGGGAAAGUUGAGACAGGUGGUGCAUGGUUGUCGUCAGCUCGUGUCGUGAGAUGUUGGGUUAAGUCCCGCAACGAGCGCAACCCCUAUUGUUAGUUGCUACGAAAGAGCACUCUAGCGAGACUGCCGUUGACAAAACGGAGGAAGGCGGGGACGACGUCAAAUCAUCAUGCCCCUUAUGUCCUGGGCUACACACGUAAUACAAUGGUGGCCAACAGAGGGAAGCGAAGCCGUGAGGCAGAGCAAAUCCCUAAAAGCCAUCUCAGUUCGGAUUGCAGGCUGCAACUCGCCUGCAUGAAGCUGGAAUUGCUAGUAAUCGCGGAUCAGCAUGCCGCGGUGAAUACGUUCCCGGGCCUUGUACACACCGCCCGUCACACCAUGGGAGUUUGGAGCACCCAAAGCCGGUGAGGUAACCGCAAGGAGCCAGCCGUCCAAGGUGAGACAAAUGACUGGGGUGAAGUCGUAACAAGGUA